Molecule: long non-coding RNA, 1519 nt
Filed under: Zea mays
Lineage: Eukaryota; Viridiplantae; Streptophyta; Magnoliopsida; Poales; Poaceae
Description: long non-coding RNA (ZMAY_LNC004696)
Source: RNAcentral
ACCCACACCCAGCCAGCUCUGCAAGCCACCCCGUCCUCCCUUCGUCUCGGACGGUGUAUCCAUCCCGCAGCCAGCGGAGCGGGUCCAAACAAGCAGCCCUCCGCCGCCGCCGCCUCCUCCUCCACCACACCACCUGAUUCGAUCCGGGCCGCGGUCCCGGCCGGGCGCGGCGGCGGGACGGAUGCGUGCGCCCACCGGGAUGCUUGAUUGGUUUCGUCCCCAUGCCAAUCCCAUUCCCAUUGCCAUUGCCAUGUGGUCACUGCCCGGGUUUUGUGCGGGUCCGGGAGCUAUUGAUGACGAAGCUUCGGCAAUGAUCGCGAGUUCAUUCAUGGCGCCGGUGGUUAAGGUCGUUCCUGCAGAUCUGCACCCACGUCCACGCAUCAGAUCUUCUCCUCCCCCCGCUCGUCGUUUAGCUACGUUGCAUUUAUUAAUUCCUCUUCUUGCUCUUCGUUGAUCAAGCCGCGCCGCGUGCGUACUCGGUGGCAAUGGGACCGUGCGCAUUGCACAAGCUAAUCCAAAACCAACUCAUUGCUCUGCACAUUUGAACAGUACAUAUCGAGUCUAGAUUAAGAUAAAUUCUCGUCAAAGUAAAAACUGCCGAUCGAGCUAAUUGAAGUUCUUGAAAAAAAAAAGAACAACCACAUCAAAUAAAAAAAGCGAAGGAAGUAUAGCCGGUUAAAUCUAAACUUCUUCCUUGCUAAAAAACAUGUGUCUAUUUGUAUGUUUAACAAUAUAAAAUUGGAUAUUUUAUCCGUUUAUGUUUUUCUUAUGGACAGAAGAGAUUAAAAGAAAGAGGACUCCGAAACGAAUGACGGUAAUUUGAUCGAUUUGCAUAUGGUGUGAGGCAAUAAAAGAAUGCAAGAUACGAAUAGAGUGUUGUUUUAGGAAUUGCUUGAAAAACGGAUGCUAUUUUCUGAAUGUCGUCUUAAACCAGUGUUGUUUCGUAGAUUCUCCAUGUGGUUUGGUGCAAUGUUAUUCUCAAUAAGUGACGUCUUCUAUGGCAUAUUCAUGUUUAGGCUUUCCUUUUCUGAUGUGUUAAGUUGUGUUCCGAAUAAAAUAGAGUUUUUGUCUUGUCCUUCUUGUCCUUUGGAUGGUUGAGUGCCAUGGUCUUCUUUUUUGUCGUUCUCCUUGUUUUACUCAUCCAUUUAUACACUGUAUGUGUCUUCUGUGAUCACGUCACCCAAUACUUAGGUAGGAUCUAUACACCUUUUGAUUUGCCUCUCAUAAUGACAAUGGCUGUAGUAUUAAAUCUUGGAAACAAACGUCUAAAAAACCAACGAGAGAAAUCCUCGUCAUCCACCUCGUGACCCAAAUUACUUUGUUCAAUCACAAUGACAUGAAGCCUAUGAAACAUUUCUCUAUGUAGAAGAAAUAGACAUUUCUAAAUAGUAUCUAGACAUGCAUCUAGGACCAUGGAUUAGAAAACCCGUGAAAACCAGUCCAGUUUCCCAUUACUGGAUCAGUAACUGUUUUCCAACCAUUUUUACAUGAAACCUGUUAAAAAACAGCAGAAAUCGAC